RNAcentral lists this ribosomal RNA (828 nucleotides) under uncultured Actinomycetales bacterium. RNAcentral's name for it is "bacterial SSU rRNA". It matches the Rfam family "Bacterial small subunit ribosomal RNA", at positions 68 to 912 of the family's 1533-position model. The record is from RNAcentral. Lineage: Bacteria; Bacillati; Actinomycetota; Actinomycetes; Actinomycetales.
GAUGAAGCACCUUCGGGUGUGAAUUAGCGGCGAACGGGUGAGGAACACGUGAAGAAUCUGCCUUCAACUCUGGGAUAACUCCGGGAAACCGGGGCUAAUACCGGAUAUGAGCCUUGAUCGCAUGAUCGGGGCUGGAAAGUUUUUCGGUUGAAGAUGACUUCGCGGCCUAUCAGCUUGUUGGUGAGGUAAUGGCUCACCAAGGCGACGACGGGUAGCCGGCCUGAGAGGGCGACCGGCCACACUGGGACUGAGACACGGCCCAGACUCCUACGGGAGGCAGCAGUGGGGAAUAUUGGGCAAUGGAGGAAACUCUGACCCAGCGACGCCGCGUGAGGGAUGAAGGCCUUCGGGUUGUAACCUCUUUCGGUAGGGAAGAAGCGAAAGUGACGGUACCUACAGAAGAAGCACCGGCUAACUAUGUGCCAGCAGCCGCGGUAAUACAUAGGGUGCAAGCGUUGUCCGGAAUUAUUGGGCGUAAAGAGCUCGUAGGUGGUUCGAUACGUCGGAUGUGAAAAUCAGGGGCUCAACCCCUGACCUGCAUCCGAUACGGUCGAGCUAGAGUUUGGUAGGGGAGACUGGAAUUCCUGGUGUAGCGGUGGAAUGCGCAGAUAUCAGGAGGAACACCGAUGGCGAAGGCAGGUCUCUGGGCCAAUACUGACACUGAGGAGCGAAAGCGUGGGGAGCGAACAGGAUUAGAUACCCUGGUAGUCCACGCCGUAAACGGUGGGCGCUAGUUGUGCGAACCUUCCACGGUUUGUGCGACGCAGCUAACGCAUUAAGCGCCCCGCCUGGGGAGUACGAUCGCAAGAUUAAAACAUAAAGGAAUUG